Molecule: transfer RNA, 20 nt
Filed under: Incarvillea sinensis
Lineage: Eukaryota; Viridiplantae; Streptophyta; Magnoliopsida; Lamiales; Bignoniaceae
Description: partial tRNA-Ser
Source: RNAcentral
AACCACUCAGCCAUCUCUCC